RNAcentral lists this ribosomal RNA (254 nucleotides) under uncultured bacterium. Its description in RNAcentral is "partial 16S ribosomal RNA". It matches the Rfam family "Bacterial small subunit ribosomal RNA", at positions 524 to 776 of the family's 1533-position model. The record is from RNAcentral.
UACGGAGGGUGCGAGCGUUAUCCGGAUUCACUGGGUUUAAAGGGUGCGUAGGUGGGUUUUGUAAGUCAGUGGUGAAAUCUCCGGGCUUAACCUGGAAACUGCCAUUGAUACUACAGGUCUUGAAUUUUCUGGAGGUAAGCGGAAUAUGUCAUGUAGCGGUGAAAUGCUUAGAUAUGACAUAGAACACCAAUUGCGAAGGCAGCUUGCUACAGGAAUAUUGACACUGAGGCACGAAAGCGUGGGGAUCAAACAGG